Molecule: non-coding RNA, 21 nt
Filed under: Caenorhabditis elegans
Lineage: Eukaryota; Metazoa; Nematoda; Chromadorea; Rhabditida; Rhabditidae
Source: RNAcentral
UCUAUUUAACAAGUAUCCCAU